Sinocyclocheilus grahami is the source of this 449-nucleotide long non-coding RNA. The record is from Ensembl. Lineage: Eukaryota; Metazoa; Chordata; Actinopteri; Cypriniformes; Cyprinidae.
GAAGUGUCAAUCAUCUGCUCCUCCAAUCAGAGGUCAGUGUUCUGCUCCUCUGAGGGGGAUCAGCUCCUCUACAGCUGGACUCUGAAUGGAGAUCCACUGAUGGAAGGAAACAGCAGCAUUGAUCUGGAUGAGGGAACUGAUGGAGACAUCAGCUGCAGCGUGAAGAACCACGUCAGUCACGCACAGAAGACCAUUAGACUCGAACCCUGUCCUGGAACAACUGCAGCUGUGACCUCUAGUUUGACCUCUGCAGUGACCAGCAGCUCACACACAUCAGAAUGUGGUAUGAGUUUAACAAACACACCACUGGAAACAUGAUCGAUGUGUUUGUUUUGUCUAACUAUUAUUGUUCAGUGUGUUCAGUGUCUGUGGUGUUGAUUGAUUGAUUCAGAGCAUGACAGUUUAAUUUGAAUUAAAUGAACAUUAAGAUGAAUGAGAGCAUAUAGACG